UACGACUACAUAUCAGGCAUAUCAAUAAGCGGAGGAAAAGAAACUAACUAGGAUUCCCUUAGUAACGGCGAGUGAAGCGGGAAGAGCUCAAAUUUGAAAUCUUCAAGGUUCUACCUUGACGAAUUGUAGUUUAAAGAAGUGUUUUCUGUUGGAGUUUUGGUAAAAGUUCUUUGGAAUAGGACAUCAUAGAGGGUGAGAAUCCCGUAUUUGACCAUUUACUUCCAGCUGUGUGAUACACUUUCAAAGAGUCGGAUUGUUUGGGAAUGCAGUCCAAAAUGGGUGGUAAAUUUCAUCUAAAGCUAAAUAUUGGCGAGAGACCGAUAGCGAACAAGUACCGUGAGGGAAAGAUGAAAAGAACUUUGAAAAGAGAGUUAAACAGUACGUGAAAUUGUCAAAAGGGAAGCGUUUGACACCAGUGUUGUUUUCUCGAAAAUCAAUUAAAAAUGACUGGAUUUUGUGUUGUAUUGACCUUAUAAGCUUUCUGCACUUUUUUCUAUGUCUUUUUUAAUGCACUUUUCGUUUAACAAGUCAACAUCAAUUUCUUUUGUUGUAAAAGAGGUCAUUGGAAGGUGGCUUUCUUUUCGGAGAAAGUGUUUAUAGCCUUUGACUCCUGCAAUCGGAGAGACUGAGGUCUGCAGCGUAGAUCCUUCGGGGUUAGAUGCAUUUGUGCUAAGUUAUAGCCUUUCAUAGACAACUUGUUGACUAUGAUCAGUCAUGUAGCUUACUCGCUUAUGUCAUUUUACCUACGCUUAGGAUGUUGACGCGCGUGUGUGCGUG
This 777-nucleotide ribosomal RNA is filed under the name uncultured Neocallimastigales. RNAcentral describes it as "partial large subunit ribosomal RNA". It matches the Rfam family "Eukaryotic large subunit ribosomal RNA", at positions 24 to 634 of the family's 3401-position model. Lineage: Eukaryota; Fungi; Neocallimastigomycota; Neocallimastigomycetes; Neocallimastigales. The record is from RNAcentral.